RNAcentral lists this transfer RNA (75 nucleotides) under Chloroflexota bacterium. RNAcentral's name for it is "Chloroflexi bacterium (sediment metagenome) tRNA-Cys". It matches the Rfam family "tRNA". Rfam says of the family: Transfer RNA (tRNA) molecules are approximately 80 nucleotides in length. Lineage: Bacteria; Bacillati; Chloroflexota. The record is from RNAcentral.
GGCGGCGUAGCCAAGUGGUAAGGCAAGGGUCUGCAAAACCCUCAUACGUCGGUUCAAAUCCGACCGCCGCCUCCU